GCUAAGGUAGCGCAAUCAAUUGGCUUUUAAUUGAAGCCAUGUAUGAAUGGAAUCACGGGGUUUAGCUGUCUCUUAACUAAUUUAUCGAAGUUACUAUUUAGGUGAAAAAGCCUGAAGAAAGAAAAAGGACGAGAAGACCCUUAGAGUUUUUCUAAAAUUAGGAUUAUUCCUAAAACAGUUUAGUUGGGGCAACAUAGGAGCAUAUUUAACCUCCUGUAAUAUACUUACCGAUAAUAAUAAAUAUGAAUAAACUACCUUAGGGAUAACAGCAUAAUUUUAUAAAUAAGUUUGUGACCU
This 297-nucleotide ribosomal RNA is filed under the name Diaulula sandiegensis. RNAcentral describes it as "partial 16S ribosomal RNA". It matches the Rfam family "Archaeal large subunit ribosomal RNA", at positions 2027 to 2595 of the family's 2987-position model. The record is from RNAcentral. Lineage: Eukaryota; Metazoa; Mollusca; Gastropoda; Nudibranchia; Discodorididae.